GAGCAUUUAUAUUUUAACUGCAUGGCACGAGAGGCACGUUCGCACUUCAUCACCACGUUGAAGGAGGCUGUUCGGCCUGUCGGAUCUACGCCUACUUUCAGAAUUGAUGACCUUUAUCAGAAAGUGCCAAUUCUGAUGCAGGCUGGAAAGUCUGGUCAUCUGAAAUUGUUCUGGCCACCACAGCGCUUUGCCAGCAGGAGUCACAAGCAACAUCAAGAAGGCUCCAUCUUUGUACAGUCCGAAGGCUAUAACAUGCUAUUUUGAUCUAGGAAUAAUGGUGCACAAUUCCCUGAAGGUGGAAUCUCAUGUGGAUAGGGUGGUGAAGAAAGCUUUUGCCAUUGAACAUAGUUUCUUCAUCCUGCCAUGUGCCUCUUUCACGUCAGCCUUACCCACAAUGAGGAAUGUGCCUUUAGGUGCCAAAUGUCUUUUUUGAUUAUUGCUGGUAGCAGCUGAACUAGACAGAAACAUCUGCAAUGGGACCUGCACAGACGGGGAAUGGAAAUUAAAUGGAUCAGAAAGAACACGUCAUCAGAAAAUUUGUGGUCUACUACAAGGCUGUCUUUAUCUUUAUUGAUUACUAAUUUAAUUAGUUUGGCACAACGUCGUGGCCCUGUUCCUGUGCAGUACUUUGCUACGUUCCAUGCUCUAUGUGUUCACUCUUUUCUAUAAGUGUAUACCUCAGAUAAAUACUUUGUGGAGAUUUGUGAUAUAUAUGAUUAUAUGAUAUAUAUGUACAAUGUCUGAAAUACAUCUUAUGGAAAUGUUUGUUUGAUGAACUUCAAUAAAAAAAAUUACAAAAGGAAGAGCUAUAUGAUUUGUCA
Long non-coding RNA from Hypanus sabinus (Atlantic stingray), 821 nucleotides. RefSeq lists it as uncharacterized. NCBI's taxonomy places the organism in Eukaryota, Metazoa, Chordata, Chondrichthyes, Myliobatiformes, Dasyatidae. The record is from RefSeq and is a predicted model, not a curated record. The transcript is spliced from 4 exons.